This 495-nucleotide ribosomal RNA is filed under the name uncultured bacterium. RNAcentral describes it as "bacterial SSU rRNA". It matches the Rfam family "Bacterial small subunit ribosomal RNA", at positions 1 to 524 of the family's 1533-position model. The record is from RNAcentral.
GAACGAAGCAGUUGUCAGGACUGAGGGAUCAGGAAGCAGGGAAAGAACCUGUCUCCUGUACCCUGAGCCCUGGCAGCUGACUUAGUGGCGGACGGGUGAGUAACGCGUGAGUAACCUGCCUUACAGAGGGGGAUAACGUUCCGAAAGGAACGCUAAUACCGCAUGAUACAAUUUUGUCGCAUGGCAGAAUUGUCAAAGAUUUAUCGCUGUAAGAUGGACUCGCGUCUGAUUAGUUAGUUGGUAGGGUAACGGCCUACCAAGACUGCGAUCAGUAGCCGAACUGAGAGGUUGAUCGGCCACAUUGGGACUGAGACACGGCCCAGACUCCUACGGGAGGCAGCAGUGGGGAAUAUUGCGCAAUGGGGGAAACCCUGACGCAGCAACGCCGCGUGAAGGAUGAAGGUUUUCGGAUCGUAAACUUCUGUCUUUGGGGAAGAUAAUGACGGUACCCAAGGAGGAAGCCACGGCUAACUACGUGCCAGCAGCCGCGGUAAU